This 253-nucleotide ribosomal RNA is filed under the name uncultured bacterium. RNAcentral's name for it is "partial 16S ribosomal RNA". It matches the Rfam family "Bacterial small subunit ribosomal RNA", at positions 524 to 776 of the family's 1533-position model. The record is from RNAcentral.
UACGAAGGGGGCUAGCGUUGCUCGGAAUCACUGGGUUUAAAGGGUGCGUAGGCGGGCAGGUAAGUCAGUGGUGAAAUCCUUGAGCUUAACUCGAGAACUGCCAUUGAUACUAUCUGUCUUGAAUAUUGUGGAGGUAAGCGGAAUAUGUCAUGUAGCGGUGAAAUGCUUAGAUAUGACAUAGAACACCUAUUGCGAAGGCAGCUUACUACGCAUAUAUUGACGCUGAGGCACGAAAGCGUGGGGAUCAAACAGG